This is a long non-coding RNA of Aedes albopictus (Asian tiger mosquito), 720 nucleotides long. RefSeq lists it as uncharacterized. The transcript is spliced from 2 exons. The record is from RefSeq and is a predicted model, not a curated record. NCBI's taxonomy places the organism in Eukaryota, Metazoa, Arthropoda, Insecta, Diptera, Culicidae.
CCUAUUGAAAGCUAUAACAUUUUCUUAUACCCUGUAUAAGUUUUAUGUUAUGGUGAAAAAGUAUAAGUUUUAACUAAUAUACUACAUAAGGUUCUGCUUUGAAAAUUUAUUCCAAUACAAACAAAUGUUGCCGCCGUUAAUUCAACGUCCUUCCUUAGCCAUUGAUUGUGAUCAUCACUUUGUUUCGGCACGAAAAGAAAUGUGUGUUUUCUUGCUCAGCUCAGCAAAUGGCAGAGCAAAUUGCGCGAAAAUCGAGUACUUGAAGAUCACGAGUAUCCUCCAUCCCCGAAAAAAAGCCAUCAGCCUGGAACACGAUCCCGAGAAAGUUCCCGUCGCAAUACAUAUUCCGGUAUUCUAGUUCCUUGAUAUGGGCAAGGAUUUGGGGGCGCAACUAGAGAGCCAUCUUCGUCAUGGUUAUUGCCAUCUCGAGAGCGGCUCAGCCUUCAGGAUCAUGAAUUUACGCCGGAGAGCGGAAAAGGGUCGUCAACUGCACCGCAUUGGGAUCUGGUAGAAGUUCAGCUGCAGUGGGAGCAAAAGGCAGUGCAAUGCUACCACAAACUCAUUAUAACAAAUAAGUUUGUGAUGCUACAGGAAAAGAUGACUUCGCAGUGUGGAGCUGAUGUGGGAGGGUCGUGGAGCAUAUUCAGGUUCGUUUAGUUUAGCCUCUAAGUGGUAAUGGUGAUUUAACCGAUGAAAUAAAACUAUUCUUAUUGAUACCAA